GUUAAAGUGGCUGAGCUAACAGGCAGCGGUUUGUAAAACCGCCAACGGACAAACAUCCCUUUAAUA
This 66-nucleotide transfer RNA is filed under the name Platynereis massiliensis. RNAcentral's name for it is "tRNA-Tyr". Lineage: Eukaryota; Metazoa; Annelida; Polychaeta; Phyllodocida; Nereididae. The record is from RNAcentral.